AGUGAACGCUGGCGGUAGGCCUAACACAUGCAAGUCGAACGGCAGCACAGUAAGAGCUUGCUCUUACGGGUGGCGAGUGGCGGACGGGUGAGGAAUACAUCGGAAUCUACUUUUUCGUGGGGGAUAACGUAGGGAAACUUACGCUAAUACCGCAUACGACCUACGGUUGAAAGCAGGGGAUCUUCGGACCUUGCGCGAUUGAAUGAGCCGAUGUCGGAUUAGCUAGUUGGCGGGGUAAAGGCCCACCAAGGCGACGAUCCGUAGCUGGUCUGAGAGGAUGAUAAGCGACACUGGAACGGAGACACGGUCAAGACUCCUACGGGAGGCAGCAGUGGGGAAUAUUGGACAAUGGGCGCAAGCCUGAUCCAGCCAUACCGCGUGGGUGAAGAAGGCCUUCGGGUUGUAAAGCCCUUUUGUUGGGAAAGAAAAGCAGCAGGUUAAUACCCAGCGGUUCUGACGGUACCCAAAGAAUAAGCACCGGCUAACUUCGUG
Molecule: ribosomal RNA, 492 nt
Filed under: uncultured bacterium
Lineage: Bacteria
Description: partial 16S ribosomal RNA
Rfam family: Bacterial small subunit ribosomal RNA
Source: RNAcentral